AAGAGCUCUUCCUGUUGUGACC
This 22-nucleotide microRNA is filed under the name Gallus gallus (chicken). RNAcentral's name for it is "gga-miR-1628". The record is from miRBase by way of RNAcentral. Lineage: Eukaryota; Metazoa; Chordata; Aves; Galliformes; Phasianidae.